This 942-nucleotide ribosomal RNA is filed under the name Triticum aestivum (bread wheat). Its description in RNAcentral is "partial small subunit ribosomal RNA". Lineage: Eukaryota; Viridiplantae; Streptophyta; Magnoliopsida; Poales; Poaceae. The record is from RNAcentral.
AUGGCUCGUGAGAUGAAUGGCUUCUUCAGCCACCCUCCGCCUCCGCCUCCGGCGCCGUACCAGGAGGAGGCGGCGGCGGACGUGGACGACGCGGAGGACGGCGGCGGCGGGCAGGGGAAGCUCUGCUCCAGGGGCCACUGGAGGCCCGCCGAGGACGCCCGGCUCAAGGAACUCGUCGGCCAGUACGGCCCCCAGAACUGGAACCUCAUCGCCGAGAAGCUCGACGGCAGAUCAGGGAAAAGCUGCCGUCUGCGGUGGUUCAACCAGCUGGACCCGCGGAUCAACCGCCGGGCCUUCACGGAGGAGGAGGAGGACCGCCUCAUGGCGGCGCACCGCGCCUACGGCAACAAGUGGGCCCUCAUCGCCCGCCUCUUCCCCGGCCGCACCGACAACGCCGUCAAGAACCACUGGCACGUCCUCAUGGCCCGCAGGCAGCGGGAGCAGUCCGGCGCCUUCCGCCGCCGCACCAAGCCCGCCUCCGCCUCUUCCUCCUCCUCCAUCGCCCCGGCGCCGCACUACGCGGGCGUCGUCCUCCAGCACCAGCACCAGUACCAGCACCACGGGGCAUCUCCCAUUCCCAUGCCGCUCCAGCCGUUCGCCAUGGGGGUGGCGAUAGCGACCGGGAUGUACAGCAAGGCCGCCACGGCCACGGCCAGCCGCGCCUACAGCGGCGGCGAGUCCGACGAGUCGGCGUCCACCUGCACCACCGACCUCUCCCUCAGCUCCGGCAACGCCGCCGUGCCCUGCUUCUACCACCACCAGGGCUACGACAUGGCUCCGCAAGCUCACGCCGUGACCCAGGCCUUCUCGCCGAGCGCGCGCUCCGCCUUCUCCGCCCCGUCGUCCUCCUCGGCGCGGAGACAGCAGCAGCAGCACGAGGAGGAGGAUGGCGACAAGCUCAGCCUGCCCUUCUUCGACUUCCUGGGCGUGGGCUCGACAUGA